This 452-nucleotide ribosomal RNA is filed under the name uncultured bacterium. Its description in RNAcentral is "bacterial SSU rRNA". It matches the Rfam family "Bacterial small subunit ribosomal RNA", at positions 28 to 495 of the family's 1533-position model. The record is from RNAcentral.
GACGAACGCUGGCGGCGUGCCUAACACAUGCAAGUCGAGCGAGUGAAUCUCCUUCGGGAGUGAAGCUAGCGGCGGACGGGUGAGUAACACGUGGGCAACCUGCCUCAUAGAGGGGAAUAGCCUUCCGAAAGGAAGAUUAAUACCGCAUAAGAUUGUAGCUUCGCAUGAAGUAGCAAUUAAAGGAGCAAUCCGCUAUGAGAUGGGCCCGCGGCGCAUUAGCUAGUUGGUGAGGUAACGGCUCACCAAGGCGACGAUGCGUAGCCGACCUGAGAGGGUGAUCGGCCACAUUGGGACUGAGACACGGCCCAGACUCCUACGGGAGGCAGCAGUGGGGAAUAUUGCACAAUGGGGGAAACCCUGAUGCAGCAACGCCGCGUGAGUGAUGACGGCCUUCGGGUUGUAAAGCUCUGUCUUCAGGGACGAUAAUGACGGUACCUGAGGAGGAAGCCACG